RNAcentral lists this ribosomal RNA (1868 nucleotides) under Triticum aestivum (bread wheat). RNAcentral's name for it is "partial small subunit ribosomal RNA". The record is from RNAcentral. Lineage: Eukaryota; Viridiplantae; Streptophyta; Magnoliopsida; Poales; Poaceae.
GUUUUUGUUUAGAGCACGUAUUUUGGUGGUGCUGUAGUCCGUCGUGUCGUCGUUCCUCUCCUACCGCCCCUAGGGCCACUAGCUGGACGUCGAGCGGCGGCGCCGCGGCCUCCUCCGGCGCGCCGAUGCCCUGCGCCGGGUCGCGGACCCGACGAAGGCCCACCGUCCGGUGCCGCACGGCGCGCACGAGGUCCUGCUGUACUUCCGGCGGCACGCGCGGGAGAAGCUGGAGGGGCUGCUGCGGUUCGCGGCGUUGCGGCUGCAGUAGAGGCCGUCGCCGAUGCAGCGCGGCUCGCGGUGCUUGGGCGAGAUGCUCCGCAAGCCGGAGAUGCUGCGGCGCAGGGGGCGGCUGCAGCUGCGGAAGACGCGGAGGGAGGUGCGCGGUGGCGUGUAGUCCCUCUGGUAAUCUUCCAUACGCCUCUUCUGCGUGCCCGAUUAGCACCUGCACCGCCGCUUCGACCGGCGCCCGGAGCCGGACCUCCUCGGGCUCCGGCUGGCGUACAAGGUCCUGACCGGCACGGUCAAGGCGUAGUUGUCCAUGUUGAUGUGCGGCCUGUGGCACCCCCUCUGGCCGCACGUCCAGGUGUGCCUGAGGCCGAAGGAGUGGCAAGAGGUCCUCCUGCUGGCGCAGCCGCCGGAGCUCCACCGCCUGGACCUGUGGCCGCUCAAGCGCGGGCACCUGGGCCAGGGCCCGUGGAAGGAGCAGUUGGAGCCGCUGCAGCGGUGCCAUGUCAUGUCAUCCUACGGAGGUAGAAGACCGGAGGGAUGCAGAGGGUGCAAACUGAAGCUGAGAGACAUAGACACACGCGUAGAUCACAUCCGCACCUCGUUGCCCCGCGACGUGUUGCACUCCGUGGCGCACGUCACGCACCGCCGCCACGGCGCGCAGAGGUAGCGCGAGAAGAACGAUCGCGGGUUCCUGCUGCACCAGGCGCGCGGCCUGCGGAAACAGCCGCGGCCGUCGGUGGCGGAGAAGUCUUGAAAGCCGAUGCUGCUGAUGGCGGCCGAGGCCGUCAGGUGGCCCCUCGUACGGCCGCUCCGGGACCGCGCCAACCGGCGCACUAUGUGGUCGAACUCGGCUUAUACCGAUACGGAUUGGUCAAUCCGCGUGUUAAGAUUAGACGUGGCGUGUAACUGGUAUGUGUAGUGUAGUGAGUCAUGUAUACGACAGUUUAGACGUACAGAUGAGAGAACGGGUUCUGGGUGCCACUUCGCGGAACCUUCCCCCACACCUAGAGUGGUUUGGGAGUGUGCUUCGUCCUCGUUGUGCUACGUGCCGCGGCUCCGCCCUGUGUACGGCGUGUAGUUCCGUACUAUCACUCGAGUCUCCUGCGGUCCCCAACGCUGUAAGUGCGCGUGUUACUGGUAAGAGGUUUGUUGCCCUCGUGGCGUUGCCUAGAGACGUUUGUCGGCGUGCUACGGGUAUUCGUUCCGUAGAUGUUGUAAAUGGCACCUCGGUUCGUCCCUACCCUGCUCCUGCUGCUCCUUGGUAAUAGCUCCUCCUUCUAAAGACACGCACUCUUCCAGCUACUGUAAGAGAAACUCAAUCUCGAAGUAUCGAACGAAUUUGCAAACCUCCGCCGAUCGGGACCUAGACCGUUCCGCUAACACCUCCUCCGAGAAUCCUCGUUUCCUUUCUUCUCACUGCGGUGUCUUUUCCGCAGCCGCCGACGAAUUACCUACUAGAAGCGAGAGAACGCAACAGGAAUACCGGACGUAACAGAAACACCUAAACCGCCACGAGCACCAGCGAUCGGUUCAAUGGGAGCAAACCCCACAGAAACGCUACAUCGUCACACCCAAUCUACCAGCAAUGUACAACCUAUACCAACAGCUCACUCAUCGGGUGUACACCAACUAAACAUAGC